GAUGAAGAACGUAGCGAAAUGCGAUAAGUAAUGUGAAUUGCAGAAUUCAGUGAAUCAUCGAAUCUUUGAACGCACAUUGCGCCCGCCAGUAUUCUGGCGAGCAUGCCUGUUCGAGCGUCAUUUCAACCAUCAAGCCCCAGGCUUGUGUUGGAGCCCUGCGGCUGCCGCAGCCUCCCAAAACCAGUGGCGGGCUCGCUAUCACACCGAGUGCAGUAGUUUACUCUUCGCUCAGGGCGUGUGGCGGGUGCUAGCCGUGAAACCCCCAACUUCUCAAGGUUGACCUCGGAUCAGGUAGGAAUACCCGCUGAACUUAAGCAUAUCAAUAAGCGGAG
RNAcentral lists this unclassified non-coding RNA (332 nucleotides) under soil metagenome. Its description in RNAcentral is "partial contains 5.8S ribosomal RNA, internal transcribed spacer 2, and large subunit ribosomal RNA". The stretch from base 1 to 120 matches the Rfam family "5.8S ribosomal RNA", at positions 35 to 154 of the family's 154-position model. The record is from RNAcentral.